This 574-nucleotide long non-coding RNA is filed under the name Dermacentor andersoni. RNAcentral describes it as "uncharacterized LOC126538713". Lineage: Eukaryota; Metazoa; Arthropoda; Arachnida; Ixodida; Ixodidae. The record is from RNAcentral.
CCAGACGAGCUACCACACCACGCGCUUUCCGGUCGCAAUGACGCCGAAACGGCGUGCGCGAGGUUCACCCAUUACCGCUCGCGAAAACACCGCGCCCACGGCACCUCACCGGGCGUAUAGCUCACGUCCCUCGACCAUAUUUCCAACGCAUCUCAGGUUUGAGGCGUCCCCGCCACGGCGACGCAAGCACUGACGACACAACCGCGCUUCACCUUGCAACAUGUGCGUUUGCUUCUUUCGCGUACUUUGUGCCACGAGGCCGUGCAACAUUCAUCCGCAGCGUCACUGUCAACCGCGACCACCAAAGAACAUUGUGCGAGCCCCAUCGCCUUCACCAGAGCUCAGACUCCGUCUAUGCAGCGUGGCGCCCUGUCGCAGUGCCGAUGUGGUGACGCACCGAUGACAACUAAGUCCGAGAAGGCGGGAGCGGAACGAGCGCAUGAGGAGAAAAAAGAACAGAGAAUUCGAGUAGUUGCUUCUUGCAUUUCAACGUGGCAUCGUCUUUUUUUCAACUUCAGAACUUCAAUUUUUCAAAAUUCAACGUGACUGCCACGCUCGUAUAACAGACUUAAAU